This 89-nucleotide non-coding RNA is filed under the name Stutzerimonas stutzeri. RNAcentral describes it as "Pseudomonas stutzeri Glycine sequence". It matches the Rfam family "Glycine riboswitch aptamer". From Rfam's summary of the family: This family represents the bacterial glycine riboswitch. The record is from RNAcentral. Lineage: Bacteria; Pseudomonadati; Pseudomonadota; Gammaproteobacteria; Pseudomonadales; Pseudomonadaceae. RNAcentral also lists the same sequence under 1 other name.
GAUGUGCUAGCGGGAGAGACUGCCGUCAGGGCAGCGCCGAAGGAGCAACCGCCCCGGAAACUCUCAGGCAAAAGGACCGCUACCACCGC